This 419-nucleotide ribosomal RNA is filed under the name uncultured bacterium. Its description in RNAcentral is "bacterial SSU rRNA". It matches the Rfam family "Bacterial small subunit ribosomal RNA", at positions 29 to 489 of the family's 1533-position model. The record is from RNAcentral.
AGCGAACGCUGGCGGCAUGCUUAACACAUGCAAGUCGCACGGGCAGGGGCAACUCUGUCAGUGGCGGACGGGUGAGUAACGCGUAGGUAUCUAUCCUUGGGUGGGGGACAACCGUGGGAACUACGGCUAAUACCGCAUGAUGACUGAGGUCCAAAGCCCGCGAGGUGCCUGGGGAGGAGCCUGCGUACGAUUAGCUUGUUGGUGGGGUAAAGGCUUACCAAGGCGAUGAUCGUUAGCUGGUCUGAGAGGAUGAUCAGCCACAUUGGGACUGAGACACGGCCCAAACUCCUACGGGAGGCAGCAGUGGGGAAUAUUGGACAAUGGGCGCAAGCCUGAUCCAGCAAUGCCGCGUGUGUGAAGAAGGUCUCGGAUUGUAAGCACUUUCGACGGGGACGAUGAUGACGGUACCCGUAGAAGAA